UACGGGGGGGGCAAGCGUUGUUCGGAAUUACUGGGCGUAAAGGGCUCGUAGGCGGCCAACUAAGUCGGACGUGAAAUCCCCAGGCUCAACCUGGGAACUGCGUCCGAUACUGGAUGGCUUGAAUCCGGGAGAGGGAUGCAGAAUUCCAGGUGUAGCGGUGAAAUGCGUAGAUAUCUGGAGGAAUACCGGUGGCGAAGGCGGCAUACUGGACCGGCAUUGACGCUGAGGAGCGAAAGCCAGGGGAGCAAACGGG
Molecule: ribosomal RNA, 253 nt
Filed under: uncultured bacterium
Lineage: Bacteria
Description: partial 16S ribosomal RNA
Rfam family: Bacterial small subunit ribosomal RNA
Source: RNAcentral